GCAUCGAUGAAGAACGCAGCGAAAUGCUAUAACUAAUGUGAAUUGCAGAAUUCAGUGAAUCAUCGAGUCUUUGAACGCACAUUGCGCCCUCUGGUAUUCCGGAGGGCAUGCCUGUCCGAGCGUCAUUGCUGCCCUCAAGCCCGGCUUGUGUGUUGGGCCCCGUCCCCCCCGCCGGGGGGACGGGCCCGAAAGGCAGCGGCGGCACCGCGUCCGGUCCUCGAGCGUAUGGGGCUUCGUCACCCGCUCUAGUAGGCCCGGCCGGCGCCAGCCGACCCCCAACCUUUAAUUAUCUCAGGUUGACCUCGGAUCAGGUAGGGAUACCCGCUGAACUUAAGCAUAUCAAUAAGCGGAGGAA
RNAcentral lists this ribosomal RNA (355 nucleotides) under uncultured fungus. Its description in RNAcentral is "eukaryotic LSU rRNA". The stretch from base 1 to 125 matches the Rfam family "5.8S ribosomal RNA", at positions 30 to 154 of the family's 154-position model. The record is from RNAcentral. Lineage: Eukaryota; Fungi.